This 74-nucleotide transfer RNA is filed under the name Hadesarchaea archaeon. Its description in RNAcentral is "tRNA-Val". It matches the Rfam family "tRNA". Rfam says of the family: Transfer RNA (tRNA) molecules are approximately 80 nucleotides in length. Lineage: Archaea; Methanobacteriati; Hadarchaeota (SeqCode); Hadarchaeia (SeqCode). RNAcentral also lists the same sequence under 1 other name. The record is from RNAcentral.
GGGCCCGUGGUCUAGUGGCCAAUGACGUCGCCUUGACGAGGCGAAGAUCGAGGGUUCGAAUCCCUCCGGGCCCA